This is an unclassified non-coding RNA of Rhinopithecus bieti (black snub-nosed monkey), 295 nucleotides long. It matches the Rfam family "Metazoan signal recognition particle RNA". Rfam says of the family: The signal recognition particle (SRP) is a universally conserved ribonucleoprotein. The record is from Ensembl. Lineage: Eukaryota; Metazoa; Chordata; Mammalia; Primates; Cercopithecidae.
GCUGGGUGUGGUGGGGCACACCUGUAGUCCAGCCACUCGGGAGGCUGAGGCAGGAGGAUCGCUUGAGCCCUGGAGUUCUGGGCUGUAGCGUGCUAUGCCAAUCAGGUGUUCACACUAAGUUCAGCAUCAACAUGGUGGCCUCCUGGGAGCAGGGGACCACCAGGUUGACUAAGGAGGGGUGAACUGGCCUCUGCUGGAAACGGAGGUCAAAACUCCCAUGCUGAUUGGUAGUAUGAUCGUGCCUGUAAAGAGCCACUGAACUCUAGCCUGAGCAACACAACGAGACCCCAUCUCU